RNAcentral lists this ribosomal RNA (487 nucleotides) under Streptococcus infantis. Its description in RNAcentral is "bacterial SSU rRNA". It matches the Rfam family "Bacterial small subunit ribosomal RNA", at positions 28 to 498 of the family's 1533-position model. The record is from RNAcentral. Lineage: Bacteria; Bacillati; Bacillota; Bacilli; Lactobacillales; Streptococcaceae.
GACGAACGCUGGCGGCGUGCCUAAUACAUGCAAGUAGAACGCUGAAGGAAGGAGCUUGCUCUUUCCGGAUGAGUUGCGAACGGGUGAGUAACGCGUAGGUAACCUGCCUGGUAGCGGGGGAUAACUAUUGGAAACGAUAGCUAAUACCGCAUAACAGUAGAUAUAGCAUGAUAUUUGCUUAAAAGGUGCAAUUGCACCACUACCAGAUGGACCUGCGUUGUAUUAGCUAGUUGGUGAGGUAACGGCUCACCAAGGCCACGAUACAUAGCCGACCUGAGAGGGUGAUCGGCCACACUGGGACUGAGACACGGCCCAGACUCCUACGGGAGGCAGCAGUAGGGAAUCUUCGGCAAUGGACGGAAGUCUGACCGAGCAACGCCGCGUGAGUGAAGAAGGUUUUCGGAUCGUAAAGCUCCGUUGUAAGAGAAGAACGAGUGUGAGAGUGGAAAGUUCACACUGUGACGGUAUCUUACCAGAAAGGACGGCU